GACGAACGCUGGCGGCGUGCUUAACACAUGCAAGUCGAACGGAAAGGCCCCUUUGGGGGUUCUCGAGUGGCGAACGGGUGUGUAACACGUGAGUAACCUGCCCUUGACUUCGGGAUAACUUCAGGAAACUGGGGCUAAUACCGGAUAGGAAUCCUUGCUGCAUGGUGGGGGUUGGAAAGCUUCGGCGGUUUUGGAUGGACUCGCGGCUUAUCAGCUUGUUGGUGGGGUAGUGGCUUACCAAGGCUUUGACGGGUAGCCGGCCUGAGAGGGCGACCGGCCACAUUGGGACUGAGAUACGGCCCAGACUCCUACGGGAGGCAGCAGUGGGGAAUAUUGCACAAUGGGCGGAAGCCUGAUGCAGCAACGCCGCGUGCGGGAUGACGGCCUUCGGGUUGUAAACCGCUUUCAGCAGGGGCGAAGCUUGUGGUGACGGUACCUGCAGAAGAAGCACCGGCUAACUACGUG
This 465-nucleotide ribosomal RNA is filed under the name uncultured bacterium. RNAcentral describes it as "partial 16S ribosomal RNA". It matches the Rfam family "Bacterial small subunit ribosomal RNA", at positions 28 to 507 of the family's 1533-position model. The record is from RNAcentral.